This 231-nucleotide ribosomal RNA is filed under the name uncultured bacterium. RNAcentral's name for it is "partial 16S ribosomal RNA". It matches the Rfam family "Bacterial small subunit ribosomal RNA", at positions 15 to 257 of the family's 1533-position model. The record is from RNAcentral.
GAUCAUGGCUCAGGAUGAACGCUGACAGAAUGCUUAACACAUGCAAGUCUACUUGAACUUCGGUUUGGGUGGCGGACGGGUGAGUAACGCGUAAAGAACUUGCCUCACAGUUUGGGACAACAUUUGGAAACGAAUGCUAAUACCGAAUAUUAUAAUCGAAUGGCAUCAUUUGAUUAUGAAAGCUAUAUGCGCUGUGAGAGAGCUUUGCGUCCCAUUAGCUAGUUGGAGAGG